GGGGGAUUUUCCAGUUUUCGGACAAUAACUCAAAAAUGCUGUCAGCAAUUCACAUGAAACUUUAGUGAAUUGUUUAUAUCUAUUGAUGUAAGCUCCCUUUUGAUUUUUAUAAAUUUCUAAUAUGACAUUGAGAAUUAAUUGAACUUUAUUUGUUUAUAGUCUGACAACAGAUUUACUAAGUAUAGUGCAACAGCACAGUGUAUCGCACAACAGCAAGAAAUCUUUAAUUGAAUAUAAAUUCAAUUCAUAUAACCAAUUUCAAGUUCUUUGACUACAUUUAUUCAGAAACCUAUAAUAUGUCAAAUAUUUAAUUACAAUCCAAAUUCAGAUCUGUAUAAAGAUUGAAUAUUGUGUCCCUUUUUGCC
This 365-nucleotide long non-coding RNA is filed under the name Mytilus galloprovincialis (Mediterranean mussel). The record is from RNAcentral. Lineage: Eukaryota; Metazoa; Mollusca; Bivalvia; Mytilida; Mytilidae.